UCUUGUCUGAAUAUGGCUAAAGGAGUGACUUGGCUUUUCUAGGCUCCAGUUCUUUAAAUACUAAAUAAGAGCAACAGAGUGGACAACUAGAUAUCCAACCAGGUAACUUGGUGACUUGGAAGUUCUUGUGUCUAUGCUUCAUGGAUGGGAAUAGCCCUAAGCAGCAAGAAGGCCUGUGGGAUGAGUGGAGUGAUCAAACACUAAGGCAGGGACAAGGGAUCUUCAUGAAAGAGGGGACUCCUGCAUGUCUCAGUGUUCAAAGCUAGCAUCAUGGCAGAGGAACAUCGGCUUCUUCAUGGUGCUUCCAGCAGGUUGGCAAGAUAAUCGCUGGGUUACUUCCAUGUACAGAGAGAGAGGGAACACAAGCUCACUUCCAGGCUUUCUGUCAUGUGUGCCAAUGUUCCAUCAACUAAAGUCAAUGGCACGGCCAAGCUUGGAUAUGAUAGGGAGAGAAGUUAGAGAUCUUGUGAUGAAACUGAAGGGAGGAGGGGUUACAUGUGCACGUGUGCACAACAUUGCUUUCUGUUAUCACUCUUCAUCCUGCUCCAACCCUUGCAGGACGAGAGAAAUUAC
Molecule: long non-coding RNA, 573 nt
Filed under: Mus caroli (Ryukyu mouse)
Lineage: Eukaryota; Metazoa; Chordata; Mammalia; Rodentia; Muridae
Description: lncRNA (MGP_CAROLIEiJ_G0005807.1)
Source: RNAcentral